This is a non-coding RNA of Stegodyphus mimosarum, 73 nucleotides long. Lineage: Eukaryota; Metazoa; Arthropoda; Arachnida; Araneae; Eresidae. The record is from Rfam.
GCCUUCAUGGUGUAGUUAUCAGCAGACUCGACGCGUAACCGAGAGGUCCGUGGUUCGAUUCCCGGCGAAGGCG